Long non-coding RNA from Canis lupus familiaris (dog), 3681 nucleotides. RefSeq lists it as uncharacterized. The record is from RefSeq and is a predicted model, not a curated record. The transcript has 6 exons. Lineage: Eukaryota; Metazoa; Chordata; Mammalia; Carnivora; Canidae.
UGGAGAGCUGGAGUAAUUAGGGCAGCUGCUGUGCUCCCUGCUGGGCCCUGCACCCUGCAAUGCCUGCUGCUGCCCGCCUGCCCCUCCAUCCACCUUGGGGCUCCGGCUGGCCGGGGACCAGGCCGAGGGGGGUCGGCUGGUUCCCCCGGGGACAUGCCUGGGCUGUGAUCUUUAGAUUUCUAGGGGAGCAGGAGCACUUCUCCUCCCCAGUGGCUUUGGCCUAGAUUUUUGGCAACAACAAUGGGUCUAAGAUGGGGCUGGAGGUUCUUCAGCCUGGGAAACUGGGGGCCUGGAGACACAGCUGGUCUUUUUCAUCCACCCACUCUGCUGAGUGUCCCUGAGCAGGACCACUUCCCUCUCGGGCAUCCAGGGUACCCAGCGCACGGACCACAGUGAUGAGGCAACUGAGGCCCAGUGAAGUGAAACCUUGGGACAGCUGGGACUGAUGCUCCAUUCGUGGAGUAAAGGAAAGGCCAUGUGGUACCAGUUCUCAGGGUUUCAACCCAGCUAAGCGGCAGCCUCGCCUAGGAUACCUCCAGCGACGAGGAAGUCACUACCUAAGCUUUGCUCUCUGUGUUUAGCUGUAAGAGGACCAGGUGACUAGACAUUGGCAUGAAUGAACCUUCAUUCUCCAGGAGAGAGGAGCCAAGGAGAGCCCCAUAAUGGUGUGAUUUCAGGGCAUUCAGCUCCAGGGCCAGGUGCCAGACUCCCUCCCAUACCCCAUCAUCGGCCUGCUACUACUGCCAGGGCAGGUGGAGGUAGCAGCCUGGAGCAGCUCCAGAGGGAACCUGGAGCCUGGGCCUCACCAGCAACACUCCCUGAAGCAGCCAGUUCCAGGUUUUGGACCCCAUGUCCUCACCUACCUCUUCUACCUGGGCCUGAGGUCUCAUCCAGGACAUGCUGAUGCUGCUCCCUCCACCUGGAAGUGUUCCUCAAACAGAACUUGUCUCAAGGGAGUCCUCUCUCUCCGAGCCCCCAGGCUCACAGUGCCCACUUCACCUUCACCUGGCUGAAGGCAACUUGCACCUCUCCUAUGGAGCAUUUCGAUGUUUUUCCUAGUUGAGCACGAGUGAUAACUAUGUGCAAAGUAAUAGCCUUCGUGCUUUUCCCUAUAUUAUUUCAUUUAAUCCUCAUGAUACCCCUCUGGUAGGGACUAUUGGACUAUUGUCAUUCCCACAGAGGAGAGGACGGAGGCUUCCGGAGGUUAGGGAGUUUGGCCAUGGUCACACACAGCCAGCAAAAGGCCAAGCUGGAAUUUGGCUCUCUGUCUGAGUCAGAGCGUUCAACUGCUAUUCCCAUACUACGUAUCUGCCUUUGACUUUACCAGACUCUGAGAUCAACCUGGCGAGGGUCGUGUUCCUCUCUCUGAGUCCCCAAGACCCGGCCCGGUGCCUGUCACUGAGUAGGAACCCCUGAACUGUCAAAUAAAAGUGAAAAUGAGUUUACGUUAUCAGAAGAGGCUCUUGGAGCCAGAAAAGCAGCCAGAGGCCAAAAGUGGUGGAAAUGUAGGCAGUGUAACAGGUGGUAGUGGGAGACAGCCAUGAAUGGAUCAGUUGGACCUGUUGCCACCAUGGGACAGACCCCUCCCUGCCCAAAUACACAUCAUCCUUCUUGCCUCUGCUGGUAAGCCCAGCUGCAGGAGCCUUCCAGAUUGGCUGGGAGAAGGUCCCAAGGGGUCCUGUAACUAGGGAGCUGGUCCCAGAGGCCUCUGGGGUUGCAGAGGCCGUUCCUGCCUUGGUAAAGACCCUGACAACAAGCCCCAACAGAGCACCCUUCUCUGGGAGAAGAGGGAGGAGACUCUCAGCCUAGUACCAAAUGUCACCUUGUUCUCCAUCCCUGAGACUUGUCUGAGAGGCCUGGAUUCCAGCUGGGGACUGAAUGGCUGUGUGACCUUUGGGCAAGUCACUAUCCCUGGGCCUCAGUCUCUCUAUCUGUAACAAUGUCCUGCCUAGGGGUCUAAAUUCUCACCAGAAUUUAGAUGCCUGGUGAUGGCUGUGCCAGACAGGAAAUUCCUAUAAGGGCAGUGACCAGGGCCAUGUGGAGCCCAAGCUACCUGGAGAAUGAAUGAUGUAGGCUUGGGAGACACUAAAAUUAGCCACCCCCUGUCACUCCAGCCCUGAGGUUUGGGAGUGCUGGUGCAGCCUGCUUCGAGCCUGGGGGACAGCAGUUGUGGAUGGUCCCUGGCCUGGCCUCUCCUGGCCUCAGCUGUCCCAUCUACAGAAUGGGCUGCCCUAAGUCACUCUAGCAGCAGAGGGAGAAGUGAAUGGGAGACACCAAGUCAGAAAGGUGGCCUGUCCCUCUAUCCCCCGCCAUGUGAGUCCAGGAGGAAAAUCCAGGCUCGUGAGGCCCCAACAGCAGGAUGGGAGGCAGUUAUCUUCAGGGAAGUUAUGGCCUUGCAAGGGAGGCAGAAAGUGGUUCCCAAAUGAUCUCCCCACUGCUAGUGGGAGCCACCUCCUCUCCCUGAAGGCCACCGUGGCUCCCAGGUCCAGCUCUGCCCCCAGUUGCUGCACCCACCCAGGCAAACCCAUUGACCUUGGUUUCCCACUCGUGAAAUCUUGACUUGCGUGUGGUAGGGGGAGCUCAAGCCCAAGGAAGAUGAGGAAAGCUUUGGGGAAGCAGCAAGAAGCAGCUCAUGAUAUUGCCGAGCACGCACCAGUGAAGGGGCACCUGACGUAUCCCUCGCCUACCUCUGACUCUGGCUUCCAGCCCUAUGCCUGGGACACCCCUGCGAGGGAUCUCACAUCACGUGGUUCCAGGGUCACGGCAUUCCCCCUACACGUGGGCUCUGGGCCUGCAGAGCUUCAAAGGGAACCCCACCUUCCAUGGGGAGAGAUGAAAACAGUCCAGCAGGGAAGAGGUGAGCGGACACCAGCUGAACAAACAGAAGCCCCCAUGGGACCGGGCCUGACCCCUCUCCUGUGGUCCGAGCCUGACACCUGGGCUUCCUUCCGCUGGAUGUGUGACAGGCACAGAGAUAGGGUAUGCGUGUGUCCGUGGCAUACAAGCGGGUUGGUGCCGGGCGCAUGUAUGCACACGCAUACGCGCUCUGGUGCACACCAUGAAGUGUGUGGCUCAGUAUAUGCUGUGCCGGGCAGGCUGUGGCUGUCUCACCUCCGGGGCAGGUUAAGAACACAAGGGAGCAGGGGUUGGUGAAUCCUAGCCCACGAGCCACAUCUGCCCACUGCCUGCUUUUGCACAGCUCCUGAGCUAAGUAGUGGCUUUUACAUUUUUAAAUAGUUGGAAAAAAAAAAGAAUAUUUCAUGACUUGUGAAAAUUCUAUCCAUUCAAAUUUUAGUGUCCACAACUAGCUUUAUUAGAACAUGGCCACAUGUGCUCAUUUGCUCACCAUCUGUGGCUACUUUUAUACUGCAAUUGCAGAAGUGAGCACUUACAACAGAGACAGUAUGGCCCAUAAGGGGCUAAGAUAUUUACUAUCUGACCUUAUCAGAAAGGCUGUCAGCUCCAGUGUUAGGGCACUAGCAAAGCUGGGGCAGCUACUACUUCCCCCCAGAACAAGUUAAAGUCCAGCUUCAGUGAGCUUAUCAAGAUUUUUACAAUUAGGGGCGCCUGGGUGGCCCAGUGGUUGAGCGUCUGCUUUUGGCUCAGGGCGUGAUCCCGAGUUCUGGGAUCGAGUCCCACAUCGGGCUCCCUGCAUGGAGCCUGCUUCUCCCUCUGCCUGUG